Molecule: small nuclear RNA, 114 nt
Organism: Pezoporus flaviventris
Lineage: Eukaryota; Metazoa; Chordata; Aves; Psittaciformes; Psittacidae
Product: U5 spliceosomal RNA
Exons: 1
Source: RefSeq, a predicted model, not a curated record
GAACGCUGCUUUUUCUUGAGAUUGUAUAAAUCAUUCUCCUUUUACUAAAGGUUCCCAUGGAGAGGGGCAUUUGAGCUUUGACCCAUUUUUUUUGCAGCCUCACCCCAGUGAGAU